GGAGGUAGUGACAAUAAAUCACAAUGCGGAACAAUGUUUUGCAAUUGGAUUGAGAACAACGUACAAACCUUAUCGAUAAACAAUUGGAGGGCAAGUCUGGUGCCAGCAGCCGCGGUAAUUCCAGCUCCAAUAGCGUAUAUUAACGUUGUUGCAGUUAAAAAGCUCGUAGUUGAAAUGAAGGGUAGUUGUGUAAUGAAUACAUUCGUGUAUUUUGUUAUUCAACUACCCUCCUUCUAAAUUCGAUAUAUGAGUAUUAAUUUACUUGUAUAUGGUUUUAGACGUUUACUGUGAGAAAAUUAGAGUGUUCAAAGCAGGCAUUUGCUUGAAUAUAUUAGCAUGGAAUAAUCAUGUAUGAUUUUCAUGAUGUAUUUGAUUGGUUUGGUUCAUGAGAAUAAGAUUAAAAGGGACAGUUGGGGGUAUUCAUAUUCAAUAGUCAGAGGUGAAAUUCUCGGAUUUAUGGAAGAUGAACAAGUGCGAAAGCAUUUACCAAGGAUGUUUUCAUUAAUCAAGAACGAAAGU
RNAcentral lists this ribosomal RNA (519 nucleotides) under uncultured Blastocystis sp. RNAcentral describes it as "bacterial SSU rRNA". It matches the Rfam family "Eukaryotic small subunit ribosomal RNA", at positions 460 to 990 of the family's 1831-position model. Lineage: Eukaryota; Bigyra; Opalinata; Blastocystidae. The record is from RNAcentral.